Molecule: ribosomal RNA, 789 nt
Filed under: uncultured marine bacterium
Lineage: Bacteria
Description: bacterial SSU rRNA
Rfam family: Bacterial small subunit ribosomal RNA
Source: RNAcentral
CAAUACUUAGUGGCAGACGGGUGGGUAACAUGUAGGUAUCUGCCCUUUGGCCUGGAAUAACACGAGGAAACUUGUGCUAAUACCGGAUAAGUCUUUACGGAGAAAGCUUUAUGCACCAUUGGAUGAGCCUGCACUUGAUUAGUUUGUUGGUGGGGUAAUGGCCUACCAAGACUUUGAUCAAUAGCUGAUUUGAGAGGAUGAUCAGCCACAUUGGGACUGAGACACGGCCCAAACUUCUACGGGAGGCAGCAGUGGGGAAUCUUGCACAAUGGAGGAAACUCUGAUGCAGCGAUGCCGCGUGAGUGAAGAAGGCCCUUGGGUUGUAAAGCUCUUUCGUCGGGGAAGAAAAUGACUGUACCCGAAUAAGAAGGUCCGGCUAACUUCGUGCCAGCAGCCGCGGUAAUACGAAGGGACCUAGCGUAGUUCGGAAUUACUGGGCUUAAAGAGUUCGUAGGUGGUUGAAAAAGUUGGUGGUGAAAUCCCAGAGCUUAACUCUGGAACUGCCAUCAAAACUUUUCAGCUAGAGUAUGAUAGAGGAAAGCAGAAUUUCUAGUGUAGAGGUGAAAUUCGUAGAUAUUAGAAAGAAUACCAAUUGCGAAGGCAGCUUUCUGGAUCAUUACUGACACUGAGGAACGAAAGCAUGGGUAGCGAAGAGGAUUAGAUACCCUCGUAGUCCAUGCCGUAAACGAUGUGUGUUAGACGUUGGAGAUUUAUUUUCAGUGUCGCAGCGAAAGCGAUAAACACACCGCCUGGGGAGUACGACCGCAAGGUUAAAACUCAAAUGAACUG